Molecule: long non-coding RNA, 785 nt
Organism: Bombyx mori (domestic silkworm)
Lineage: Eukaryota; Metazoa; Arthropoda; Insecta; Lepidoptera; Bombycidae
Exons: 5
Source: RefSeq, a predicted model, not a curated record
GCUUAAAAAACAUUGUUUCCAAGCCAGUAAAAUUCAUAAAAAAAACCGGCAAAAAAUUAAGAAGCAAAAGAUUGCCGCGUAAAGUAUUGAACCAAAAUAAACAUGUUUAAUUCGAAAUUAAGCAGUUUCGUGGGUUCACCUUGAUCUCCGAAGAUUGUAGAGUUGUAACGAGCGGCGGUUGCCCACCGAAACAAGCCCAAAUCCUACGCCUACGAUCGAAACUGGACAAGUCGCUUCAUGGAGGUCACAUUAAACACGAAGUCGGCUACAUAUGCAGUGGAGACUUCCCCCUCAAAUAUUGAAGUGCACUGAAGAAUAAAAGUUGUCCGUGAACCCUGACAAUAGCCGUAAGCUUUUCUAAUCACGAUUAUAUUUCUAUGUACUGAUGCGACAGGGCGAUCGCGGGAAGGUGAGCGGGGAAGCGGGCGGAGCGCCGCAUUCCAGCGAGCACAAGAUUCGUUGUAAGGAAGAAAUCACCUUAGAUCUUUGCAGCAUUUGGCCAGUUCCAAGAUCUCCCUGGUUCCUCUGACGUUGAUGAAUGUGGCCUUCUUCAGUGGCUCUUCGAACCUGGUCGUGGCAGCCACAUGGAAUAUCACAUUCACCUAAAAUUCAUUCUUAACGAUAACGUCAGUUUUGUAAAUCUUGGAUGUCGAUUUGAAACUAUGAAAUAUACAUGUACACACUUGACAAGUGCUGGGAUGUAAUUAGGAUGUACUUGUACAGAAAGAUCAAACGGCUGUUUAUAGCUGGGUUUAUAUAAGACAGUAAAAUGUCAUCAACAUUAA